GGAGGGUACAAGUAGUUGCUUUUGAGUCUGAGUUCCUAGGAGCCCCUGCCUCUUUUUGAGAUUUGGUUCUUUUAUAGAUGACCUUGUGAAUUUCAGAAGGCAUGAAGGUCUGAAAUUUCUGCCAGCUGGCUGGCAUACUAUCCAUGGGCAAAGAGUCUCACUGGCACCUACUGGAGUGACAACACUUACUGCCAAGAUAGUCAAGCUGAUCAAAUCUGUGCAUCAAGAAAAUUCAUAUCAGUGUUUCCAAGAGAAAAUAACAAAGAAUGGAGUCAGGGAGACCAAUAAGGAGGCACUAAAAUUGCCCAGCUGAAAAUGAUAAAGGUUUGAACUUCGAAGUAUCUGGAAUGGUGGAAAGAAUAGAAUGGCAGCCAUUCUUUCACUGAACCAUGAAAAUCUGAGCUAUAGACCAAAGUGUCUGUGGCCUCUGUUUCCUAUCUCUGUGGAGUCUUUCUUUUAUCUUUGAUUUCCACUUUUAA
Long non-coding RNA from Sarcophilus harrisii (Tasmanian devil), 479 nucleotides. RefSeq lists it as uncharacterized. Lineage: Eukaryota; Metazoa; Chordata; Mammalia; Dasyuromorphia; Dasyuridae. The transcript has 2 exons. The record is from RefSeq and is a predicted model, not a curated record.